CAAUAAGCGGAGGAAAAGAAACCAACAGGGAUUGCCCCAGUAACGGCGAGUGAAGCGGCAAGAGCUCAAAUUUGAAAUCUGGCCUCCCCCGGGGGCCCGAGUUGUAAUUUGCAGAGGAUGCUUCGGGUGCGGCCGCCGUCUAAGUUCCUUGGAACAGGACGUCAGAGAGGGUGAGAAUCCCGUCUUGGGCGGGCGGUCCGCGCCCGUGUGAAGCUCCUUCGACGAGUCGAGUUGUUUGGGAAUGCAGCUCUAAGCGGGUGGUAAAUUUCAUCUAAAGCUAAAUAUUGGCCGGAGACCGAUAGCGCACAAGUAGAGUGAUCGAAAGGUUAAAAGCACCUUGAAAAGGGAGUUAAACAGCACGUGAAAUUGUUGAAAGGGAAGCGCUUGCGGCCAGACUCGGGGGCGGGGUUCAGCGGGUGCUCGUCGCCCGUGUAUUCCUCGUCUCCCGGGCCAGCAUCAGUUUCGACGGCCGGUCAAAGGCCCCCGGAAUGUGUCGUCUCUCGGGACGUCUUAUAGCCGGGGGUGCAAUGCGGCCCGUCGGGACUGAGGAACGCGCUCCGGCUCGGAUGCUGGCGUAAUGGCCGUAAGCGGCCGUCUUGAAACAC
This 605-nucleotide ribosomal RNA is filed under the name Trichophyton mentagrophytes. RNAcentral describes it as "eukaryotic LSU rRNA". It matches the Rfam family "Eukaryotic large subunit ribosomal RNA", at positions 44 to 662 of the family's 3401-position model. Lineage: Eukaryota; Fungi; Ascomycota; Eurotiomycetes; Onygenales; Arthrodermataceae. The record is from RNAcentral.